GUGGGGAAUCUUGCGCAAUGGGCGAAAGCCUGACGCAGCCAUGCCGCGGGAAUGAUGAAGGUCUUAGGAUUGUAAAAUUCUUUCACCGGGGACGAUAAUGACGGUACCCGGAGAAGAAGCUCCGGCUAACUUCGUGCCAGCAGCCGCGGUAAUACGAAGGGGGCUAGCGUUGCGCGGAAUUACUGGGCGUAAAGGGCGCGUAGGCGGACAGCUUAGUCAGAGGUGAAAGCCCCGGGCUCAACCUUGGAAUUGCCUUUGAUACUGGCUGUCUUGAGUUUGGGAGAGGUGAGUGGAACUCCGCGUGUAGAGGUGAAAUUCGUAGAUAUUCGGAAGAACACCAGUGGCGAAGGCGACUCACUGGCCCAAUACUGACGCUGAGGCGCGAAAGCGUGGGGAGCAAAAAGGAUUAGAAACCCGAGUAGUCC
This 425-nucleotide ribosomal RNA is filed under the name uncultured bacterium. RNAcentral describes it as "partial 16S ribosomal RNA". It matches the Rfam family "Bacterial small subunit ribosomal RNA", at positions 354 to 796 of the family's 1533-position model. The record is from RNAcentral.